CUCCAAUUAAAUCGCACAGGUGCUGAAAAUCCUUUGUCAUUAGUCUUCCUAUAUAGAGCUGUCCUUCUCUGUUGUCUGGAUGGAGUCCUUACCCUAUGUGCAUCGAUGUUUCUCGUCUCCCGAGACUUCCCCUUAUCCUUCUCGUUUUUUCCGAGUUCCCGUUUCAUCCGUUUCCCUGUUUUGUUUUGUUUGUCUCCCAUGACUGUUUAUUUUGUAUUUUUCCUUUGUUACAAUAAAUCAUACCCUGCAAUUGGAUCCUACCCUCUCCUUGUGUUUUCCUAAACCCAAUCGUCACAGAAGGACUCCAUCGCCAAGGAUCCAGCGGUAUGUCUACUACCAUUUCCUCCCCAGCCAGCAAGCGGGAGAGAAAUGGUUUCGAGGGCUCUCGCCUAGUGGUGUUCCGGGGAACCAGGGGAGGUCGCUCCGGAGCAAAUAGUCGGGAGGAGAUCCGGCAGCGAUCUCCACUGUGGGCUCCCGUCGACCCGGGAUUCGGUUGGGGGCCGCCAUUUCCCCAGUAUGUCCCGAGAGGAGAAGGGAGACGCAGAUCAGCUGAGCCAGCGCCGUGGUACCAGAUGGCCGCCAGUCCUGUGCUGCUGCACAAAAUGGCCGCCAAUCCAGCGCCGCUGCGCAAGAUGGCCGCCAACCCAGCACCACGAGGCAAGAUGGCCGCCAGCUCAGAGUCACAGCCCAAGAUGCUCACCAGCCCAGCGCCACAGCACAAGGUGGCCGCCAGUCCAGCGCCACGGCACAAGGUGGCCACCAGCCCAGCGCCACGGCACAAGGUGGCCGCCAGCCCAGCGCCACGGCACAAGAUGGCCGCCAGCCCAGCGCCACACCCCAAGAUGGCCGCCAGCCCAGCGCCACAGCACAAGAUGGCCGCCAACCUAGCGCCACAGCCCAAGGUGGCCACCAGCCUAGCGCCACAGCACAAGAUGGCCGCCAGCCCAGCACCACAGCACAAGAUGGGUGACUCAACGCCUGAGUCACCAGUCAAGGUGCCACAGACUCGCAAUCAUAGAGGGCGGAGGUCGAGGAGACAGGCGUCUACCAUUCCUCAAAGCCUGGAGAACGUUCCCGAGCGGGCCGCUGCCGUCCAGGGGGACGUUCCCGAGUGGGCCGCUGCCGUCCAGGAGGACGCUCCCGAGCGGGCCGCUGCUGUCCCCGAGGCGGUGCCUGAGCAGGUCGCUCCAGUGGUCGAGGCGGUGCCCGAUGCUGUUC
This 1218-nucleotide long non-coding RNA is filed under the name Carassius auratus (goldfish). Its description in RNAcentral is "lncRNA (ENSCARG00000066440.1)". Lineage: Eukaryota; Metazoa; Chordata; Actinopteri; Cypriniformes; Cyprinidae. The record is from RNAcentral.